RNAcentral lists this ribosomal RNA (253 nucleotides) under uncultured bacterium. RNAcentral describes it as "partial 16S ribosomal RNA". It matches the Rfam family "Bacterial small subunit ribosomal RNA", at positions 524 to 776 of the family's 1533-position model. The record is from RNAcentral.
UACGUAGGGGGCAAGCGUUGUCCGGAUUUAUUGGGCGUAAAGAGCGUGUAGGCGGCCAGACAGGUCAGCUGUGAAAACUCGAGGCUCAACCUCGAGACGUCGGUUGAAACCGUCUGGCUAGAGUCCGGAAGAGGAGAGUGGAAUUCCCGGUGUAGCGGUGAAAUGCGCAGAUAUCGGGAAGAACACCCGUGGCGAAGGCGGCUCUCUGAGACGGUACUGACGCUGAGACGCGAAAGCGUGGGGAGCGAACAGG